RNAcentral lists this ribosomal RNA (286 nucleotides) under uncultured Peptoniphilus sp. Its description in RNAcentral is "partial 16S ribosomal RNA". It matches the Rfam family "Bacterial small subunit ribosomal RNA", at positions 73 to 354 of the family's 1533-position model. Lineage: Bacteria; Bacillati; Bacillota; Tissierellia; Tissierellales; Peptoniphilaceae. The record is from RNAcentral.
ACGGGUGAAGAUAAGACGGAUUAGCGGCGGACGGGUGAGUAACACGUGAGUAACCUGCCUUUUACACAGGGAUAGCCUCGGGAAACCGGGAUUAAAACCUGAUGAAACUAUCAAAUCACAUGAUUAAGAAAGUUAAAACUCCGGUGGUAAAAGAUGGACUCGCGUCCCAUUAGCUAGUUGGUGAAGGUAACGGCCCACCAAGGCAACGACGGGUAGCCGGCCUGAGAGGGUGAACGGCCACAUUGGAACUGAGAAACGGUCCAAACUCCUACGGGAGGCAGCAGAC